Small nucleolar RNA from Mustela putorius furo (domestic ferret), 128 nucleotides. The record is from Ensembl. Lineage: Eukaryota; Metazoa; Chordata; Mammalia; Carnivora; Mustelidae.
GCGCAUUGAUGGCGGGCCCUUCUCCUCGGGCCUCUCGCCGUAUAUCCGGGCCGGGGGAGCUUGUGGCCUUAAACCGUGGCCCCGGUCCUCACUGGUGGGCUGUGAGCACCGGAGGGGACUGCCCAGGU